This 279-nucleotide unclassified non-coding RNA is filed under the name plant metagenome. Its description in RNAcentral is "partial contains small subunit ribosomal RNA, internal transcribed spacer 1, and 5.8S ribosomal RNA". The record is from RNAcentral.
UUUCCGUAGGUGAACCUGCGGAAGGAUCAUCAACAAAUCCAACCCCAAACAAACCACACCCAAUUUAUGUGAACCAAAAAAAACUUUUUUUCACCCCAACAUUAUCUCGUACAUCUAGCCUAAGUUUAGAUGACGUUUUUUUUUCUUUUUCUUUUUUUUUUUCUUUUUUUGGAAAAAUUGAGUAAAAAAAAAAAAAUAUAAUCUUAAAACUAAAAAAUAAAAACAAAACUUUUAUCAACGGAUCUCUUGGUUGUCCCAUCAUUGAAGAACAACGCAGAA